Molecule: long non-coding RNA, 258 nt
Filed under: Lathyrus oleraceus (garden pea)
Lineage: Eukaryota; Viridiplantae; Streptophyta; Magnoliopsida; Fabales; Fabaceae
Description: Pisum sativum (pea) long non-coding RNA (PSAT_LNC015902)
Source: RNAcentral
UUAAUUAUAUUAUUAUAAUUAACUAUAUGAAAAACAUAAAUUAAAAAUUAAAAUAGUUAAAAAAACAAACAAAUAAUAAGACAUAUAAUAGAUAAAAACAACAUUAAUAGUUUAUUAAUAUUUUAAAAAUGACAUAAAUUGAAACAAUAUUGUAUAUUGGAGUGGUAAUUUCGGAAUAUUUUUUUUUUAAUUGUAUUUUUAUUUGAACACAUUUUGUGGACAUUAUGCAUGAACACCGACAAAAUACAUAUAAACUCC